UGCCCUCAUUCCAUUUUCCUUUACUUUGCAGAAAAGAAACAAAUUCCUUUCCACCCAAAAUAUGACAGCACCUGUGGUCCAGGGCUGGAGCCCAUAGUGGAUGCCCAGCAGCCAACUUCCUGGAAUUGUGACCUCCCCAGCAGGCUUGCAGGUGAAAAGAGAGAGAAACCAGGCUUCAAAGGGGACACCAGUGCUGUGUUGGGGACAGAGCAGCACCCCACAGCACCCCCCAGCACCCCACCCUGAAGAAUGGGAGUGAGAAGAGAGGACAGCCACACACCCAAGUUGGACAGAUACAGUAGAGGAUUUGCCCAUUUUCUGGAAAGUGACCAUCUGCCCUUCAGGAGAGGACAGCAGAGUGGGGGUGAAGGAUACUCUACUGCCCUCACCCUUGACAGCCUCCACCCCAAACCUGGCUUCCUACUUCUACAUCAGCCACCACUCCUGAACCCCCAUUCCUGAUUGUCAGAAUUUUUAACAUAACUAAACAUGAAACACAAAUGCAUCUGCAUCAUGUGUGGGUGCUCUCUCCCUUUAUUGUAUUUGGGGUGAGGUUAUUUUAAGGCAUGGUCCAGGGUAAAUUCCUGUAAGGCCUGGGUGCCC
Molecule: long non-coding RNA, 603 nt
Filed under: Pongo abelii (Sumatran orangutan)
Lineage: Eukaryota; Metazoa; Chordata; Mammalia; Primates; Hominidae
Description: lncRNA (ENSPPYG00000035991.1)
Source: RNAcentral